CGCUAGCUUGAUUAAAUUACGGUAGCAGGUGCCAAUAUGCAUAAAAACACACCUACAGAGGUCACACAUGGGACGGUUUAGUAAGUAUGAAUUGUUUUAGUUGCGUUGUAAAACUUAUUUACAAACGCGAAAAGAAUAAGUCUAUAAUGUUUUGAGCGGAAACACUAUAGACACGUUUACUUCCGGUUCAAGGCACGAGACAGGAAGUACAUUGUCAACCUGCAGUGACCGUACUCGUGCAAAAGAUGGCGCUAUAGCACAAACAAUAACACACCUUUUCGGUGUCUUGGUUCUGGGUAUUGUGAAAACUGUCUGUUGAAUACAAAACAUUGCGAAGAAAUACCCAUAAAUUAGCCGCACCGUUUUAUAACCCGCAGGUUUAAAGCGUGGGGGUGGUGGGGAAAUCACCCAGAAUGAGUUUGAAGCCCACUUGAGGCUCCCUUCGUACCAGUUGAGACUCACUGCUGUCUACUAGGAGUCCAUAGCAACAUCCGAUGUAGUGGUUUGGCCUCAAACAUGGCAGAAAUGUGCUGCUUAGCCCACAAACUGAAUAAUACUGCCCCCAAUUGUCUAAGCAAAGCAAGAAGCAUUGAUUCAAAUAUCUAGCAAACACAAAAUUCCACACUUUUUAUGUUAUGUUUACUUUUUCCGAACUGUACCUCUCGGGGAAAAAAAAAAAAAAAAUUGUCUGUGAAUAAGGAAUUUUAUAACACACCGCAAGUUUGACUCUCUAUCUAAAUCUUUGUUGGUGAAUGUUUUAGUUGUUUUUUUCUUCUUUUCGAAAAACCCACGCAGAGCUGCAAAAACACACUGACUCUUGAAUAUGGUGUCAAAAAAAAAAAAAAGUAGAAUGUAGAAUUAUCUGUGCGGACGUGAGGCGACGUCAUAAGUUGUCUCACCACCACGAACACACCUUUUUUGUUGUUGUUGUUGUCGCCGCUGUUGUUGUGUGUUGUACCGUACGUGUUACGAUUACCUCUCUGAAUCAAAGGCUGACUCAAAAUUGUCCCGGUGAACACACACACUCGCAGUGCUAACCUAGUCAAAAGGUAACCUCACACGAUGCCAGCAUCCUAGUUGUCCUCUGGUGAUGGGCUGCUCACAACCAGGUGUGCGUUAGUCUGCUCGUGGGCCUCUCUUUUUUCUGUUUUCCACUUUUGCAAAGGACUGUUCGUCUGCCGUCUUUUUCGGGGCUCCCUAGGCUCCCUAAUAUAGUGCAUCUAAAAAGUAUUUAUAGUGCUUCCCUUUUUGCACAUUUUUUGUUACAGGCUUAUUCCAAAAUGUAAUCAAUUCAUUUGAAAAACAUUUGUUGCACAGGUGGCAUCCUAAGACAGUUCCACGCUGGAAAUCACUGAAAGCGGCCCAUUCUUUUACAAAUGUUUGUAGAAACAGUCUCCAUGCCUAAGUGUUUGACUUUUAGUUUUACAAACCCCGUUUCCAUAUGAGUUGGGAAAUUGUGUUUGAUGUAAAUAUAAACGGAAUACAAUGAUUUGCAAAUCCUUUUCAACCGAUAUUCAGUUGAAUAUGCUACAAAGACAACAUAUUUGAUGUUCAAAUUGAUAAACAUAUUUUUUUUUGCAAAUAAUCAUUAACUUUAGAAUUUGAUGCCAGCAACACGUGACAAAAAGGUUGGGAAAGGUGGCAAUAAAUACUGCUUAAGUUGAAAAAUGCUCAUCAAACACUUAUUUGGAGCAUCCCUGUCAGGUUCAAACACUGAUGACAUCUAUUAAACAAGACAAAAGGCAAAGAAUCAAACAGACAGAAUUAAACUUGGACUCGGAUCUGAGGAGAGACAUGGCCACUGUACACUUCGUACAGUCCUGCACCACGCUCUGACAAAAAAGGUUUACGUCUCCUUUUUUUAUUUAGAUAUUCAAUGUUUACGCAACAACACAUGUCAGAACAGAAAUGGGGAGUAUGUAAACAGUCUUUGUUUUCGGUCACAUUGAAGAUAAAAGAAGAUGAUGCCUCGGGCUUGGGCUUGUCCUGGAUUUAGCUUCGGCAGGUGUUUGAGGACAAUAGAUAACCCCUCCCGUCGCAUUCCAACGUAGACAGCGGAAUCUUGCAAGACUUUGUUUGGUCGAACAAGAACAGCUCUCAUCCGUUCAAAGGAAACUCAGAGGGCAGAACGUUUUUUUGAUAAUUUACACAAUUUUUCUGACAAUCCCACAGGUGUGCAGGCUAAUUGGGAACAGGUGGGCGCCAUGAUUGGGUAUAAAAACAGCUUCCCAAAAAACGCUCAGUCUUUCACAAGAAAGGAUGGGGCGAGGUACACCCCUUUGUCCACAACUGCGUGAGCAAAUAGUCAAACAGUUUAAGAACAACGUUUCUCAAAGUGCAAUUGCAAGAAAUUUAGGGAUUUCAACAUCUACGCUCCAUAAUAUCAUCAAAAAGUUCAGAGAAUCUGGAGAUAUCACUCCACGUAAGCGGCAUGGCCGGAAACCAACAUUGAAUGACCGUGACCUUCAAUCCCUCAGACGGCACUGUAUCAAAAAACAACAUCAAUCUCUAAAGGAUAUCACCACAUGGGCUCAGGAACACUUCAGAAAACCACUGUCACUAAAUACAGUUUGUCGCUACAUCUGUAAGUGCAAGUUAAAGCUCUACUAUGAAAAGCGAAAGCCAUUUAUCAACAACAUCCAGAAACGCUGCUGGCUUCUCUGGGCCCGAGAUCAUCUAAGAUGGACUGAUACAAAGUGGAAAAGUGGUCUGAUGAGUCCACAUUUCAAAUAGUUUUUUGGAAAUAUUCGACAUCGUGUCAUCCGGAUCAAAGGGGAAGCGAGCCAUCCAGACUGUUAUCGACGCAAAGUUUAAAAGCCAGCAUCUGUGAUGGUAUGGGGGUGCAUUAGUGCCCAAGGCAUGGGUAACUUACACAUAUGUGAAGGCACCAUUAAUGCUGAAAGGUACAUACAGGUUUUGGAACAACAUAUGCUGCCAUCUAAGCGCCGUCUUUUUCAUAGACGCCCCUGCUUAUUUCAGCAAGACAAUGCCAAGCCACAUUCAGCACGUGUUACAACAGCGUGACUUCGAAAAAAAAGAGUGCGGGUACUUUCCUGGCCCGCCUGCAGUCCAGACCUGUCCCCCAUCAAAAAUGUGUGGCGCAUUAUGAAGCGUAAAACACGACAGCGGAGACCCCGGACUGUUGAACGACUGAAGCUCUACAUAAAACAAGAAUGGGAAAGAAUUCCACUUUCAAAGCUUCAACAAUUAGUUUCCUCAGUUCCCAAACGUUUAUUGAGGGUUGUUAAAAGAAAAGGUGAUGUAACACAGUGGUGAACAUGCCCUUUCCCAACUACUUUGGCACGUGUUGCAGCCAUGAAAUUCUAAGUUAAUUAUUAUUUGCCAAAAAAAAAGUAAAGUUUAUGAGUUUGAACAUCAAAUAUCUUGUCUUUGUAGCAUUUUUAAUAGAAUAUGGGUUGAAAAGGAUUUGCUAAUCAUUUUAUUCCGUUUAUAUUUACAUUUAACACAAUUUCCCAACUCAUAUGGAAACGGGGUUUGUAUUACAUUUGCAAAAAUUUCCAAAUGAACUUUUUCACUGUUUCUACUGGGUGUUGUCGCUAGUAUUUUAAGACAAAAAUGUAUUCAUUCCAUUUUGAUUUAAGGCUGUAUUAUAACACAAUGUGGAAGAAGUGAAGCCAUUGUCAAUACUUUCAGGUUUUCUCGCCAAGGUGCUGCUCACUUUGGUGUUUUUUAAGGUUUUUGGGGUGUUGCUAGACUCUUAUCUAACAAAUAUCACACUCACACGCAUCCCCGAGGAUGUUUUUAGCGUGUUAGUUGUAUCACGAUAGUGGUCGGUUUUUAUUUUUUGUCCGGUUUCCUCGCUGUUCUGAUGAUUCCCGUACUCGGUGGUCCCAUUGUGGGCUUGAACCACAUGUUAACUUUGCAAUCCAAAUGGCAGACUAGUGAAGUACAGACCUCCGCCAAGGCUGAAAACAAUAAUCCUCAAUUUGGAAUAGCACCAGAUCGGGUCUGUUUUUGUCCGGAUGUUGUUUUUUUCCGCUCGUUAUUUACAAAGAAAGGUUGCUAAAUGCGUUAUAUACUGUAUCUGUAAAAGUUUUACUUGGUUCUUUCUUUGACAGAGUGUAAAUAUUACAAGAAUGAAUGCAUCAUUUGACGAGCAUAAAGUGUACUAGGCAUUAGGAAAAUAAAGAUAUUAGAAAAUAAGGUUCUUACUUUCCUAGAGUUAGAUCCGAAAUUAUUAGAUUACAGUCCAAAUUAUUUAAUGGUAAAAUAUGUUUGUGAAGGAGUAGUACACAAAUAACAUUUACAAAAGUAAAGUCCAUUGGAAUUUUUGCGCACUCCAAAAAAAAAGUCUUUAGAUUUGUGGUAAAAAAAAAGAAAUACUCGCAGAAUUUUAAUAUACAAAUAAUUAGCAGCGCACUAGCCAGACAUUUACUGUUAAAAUAAUAGUGUGUUUUUCUUUAAUUUACAGUAACCGCUUUAAAAAAGUCAAAAUUUUACAGGAAAAAAAAAAUUGCAGCUUUCUCGCCGGAAUUUUACCGCGAAAAUAACAAUAGCACCGUUUUUCUGUGUGCUGUAAUUUGGUGUAAAAACUAUUGUAAAUUUUAGGAUUAAAUUCUGGCGAGUGAGCUAUGCUGAAAUAUAUAUAUAUAAUUUUUUUUUACAGUGUGCAAUAAAGUAUUAUGACAAAAAAGUAUUUUUUUUUAUUGUAAUAAAGUUGUAAUAUAUCAAGCAAAAAGUUCUACUAGAAAAAAAAAAUCUAGAUUUUACAGUACAACUUUUUGCUGGAUAAAUUACAACUAUUAUAAUAAAAAUGACAUAUUUUUCUCAUAAUUAUACUUUAUUGUAUUUACACUGUAAAGAAAUUUGAAAAGCUGUAAUAAUAAUAAUAAAAUAAAGUGGUAACAUGGAGAAAAAAAGCUACAUUCUUACCAGAAUGAAAAAUGGAACUUUAUUAUUGUAACAGUUAUUUUUAAUAUACAUAUUUGUUUCCAUUAAGGUCCUAAAACAGUACACCUUCCCUAGUCAAGGAGUAACUUUUUUUUUGGUUUUGUUUUAAUCUUGCUAACUAAGAAAUAACAGAUUGGCGGAGGUAAUCAAGGCAAAUAAAAGAAGGCUAGUAAAUAUUUGAUAUGUAAUAUAAAACAUGGAAUAUUGAGCAACGUGGAUCCUACAGUUUUGGCCGAUCAGACGGAAAUGACGGCACGUUUUUGUCCAUCCAGUAUCUCCGACACCUCAUUCAGCACUAAAAGUACACGUCUCACCAUUUGGGAGAUACUUCUAUUAUUUGUGUGCGUGUCUAAUAGGUGAAACCCUAUCGAUGUCCCACGGUCCAAAAAGGUCUCCGAUGACUGUGCGCUGGACUAAACAUUCGAUUAUUGUUUUGACACUCGUGGUGGACAAAUACACGCCUCUCUGGUUCCAUUUUUUUGAGUUGGGAGUGUGAACUGUAUUGCUGAGCAACUUGGAUCUGAGCAAUAAAAUAAAUUUGCAUCA
Nerophis ophidion (straightnose pipefish) is the source of this 5457-nucleotide long non-coding RNA. RefSeq lists it as uncharacterized. The record is from RefSeq and is a predicted model, not a curated record. The transcript has 2 exons. NCBI's taxonomy places the organism in Eukaryota, Metazoa, Chordata, Actinopteri, Syngnathiformes, Syngnathidae.